Molecule: small nucleolar RNA, 108 nt
Organism: Bombina bombina (fire-bellied toad)
Lineage: Eukaryota; Metazoa; Chordata; Amphibia; Anura; Bombinatoridae
Product: small nucleolar RNA SNORD67
Exons: 1
Source: RefSeq, a predicted model, not a curated record
CUGGAGAAUGAUGAGUUGCACAAAUGGAGUUGUGGUGCUGUGUACUGCAAUGUCCAACAGAACCAGACUGGUGACAGAACCGAGUGCACAGGGGCCAGCUGACUCCAU